GAUGAAGAACGUAGCGAAAGGCGAUAAGUAAUGUGAAUUGCAGAAUUCAGUGAAUCAUCGAAUCUUUGAACGCACAUUGCGCCCGCCAGUAUUCUGGCGGGCAUGCCUGUUCGAGCGUCAUUACAACCCUCAGGCCCCCGGGCCUGGCGUUGGGGAUCGGCGGAGCCCCCCGUGGGCACACGCCGUCCCCCAAAUACAGUGGCGGUCCCGCCGCAGCUUCCAUCGCGUAGUAGCUAACACCUCGCGACUGGAGAGCGGCGCGGCCACGCCGUAAAACACCCAACUCUUCUGAAGUUGACCUCGAAUCAGGUAGGAAUACCCGCUGAACUUAAGCAUAUCAAUAAGCGGAGGA
This 352-nucleotide unclassified non-coding RNA is filed under the name soil metagenome. RNAcentral's name for it is "partial contains 5.8S ribosomal RNA, internal transcribed spacer 2, and large subunit ribosomal RNA". The stretch from base 1 to 120 matches the Rfam family "5.8S ribosomal RNA", at positions 35 to 154 of the family's 154-position model. The record is from RNAcentral.